AAGCUUCUGAAUGUCUCUGUUAUGGAGGGGGACAUCCCACCAAACAACAAGAAUCCAUAUUAAAACGGUAGGAUUAAACAAUGAAUUUGCCAUUGAUAAAUUACAGAAACGCCUGAGAAACAGAAAAUUUAUUUCUAUUUACAUAGCUAAGUCACAUUUCUCACACCAAGAUCAACACUCGUGCCCUCCAUAACAGAGACAUUCAGAAGCUU
This 212-nucleotide unclassified non-coding RNA is filed under the name Hevea brasiliensis (rubber tree). The record is from RNAcentral. Lineage: Eukaryota; Viridiplantae; Streptophyta; Magnoliopsida; Malpighiales; Euphorbiaceae.